GCCGGAUGCCGUGGCUCACGCCUGUAGUCCCAGCACUUUGGGAGGCUGAGGCGGGCGGAUCAUGAGGUCAGGAGAUCGAGACCAUCCUGGCUAACACGAUGAAACCCCGUCUCUACUAAAAANNNNNNNNNNUUUUUAGUAGAGACGGGGUUUCAUCGUGUUAGCCAGGAUGGUCUCGAUCUCCUGACCUCAUGAUCCGCCCGCCUCAG
RNAcentral lists this signal recognition particle RNA (209 nucleotides) under Chlorocebus sabaeus (green monkey). Its description in RNAcentral is "Metazoan signal recognition particle RNA". It matches the Rfam family "Metazoan signal recognition particle RNA". From Rfam's summary of the family: The signal recognition particle (SRP) is a universally conserved ribonucleoprotein. It is involved in the co-translational targeting of proteins to membranes. The eukaryotic SRP consists of a 300-nucleotide 7S RNA and six proteins: SRPs 72, 68, 54, 19, 14, and 9. Lineage: Eukaryota; Metazoa; Chordata; Mammalia; Primates; Cercopithecidae. The record is from Rfam by way of RNAcentral.